AGAGGCUGAAGAAAUUAAGAUAAUCAAAGAGAAAAGAAAACACAACUUAAAACUAGGAAAGCUUACUUCGUAAUCACCUUUAACAUCAGGUACAUUUAAUCAUGGGCUUCUGUUAAAAAUUUUGGGUUGUAUCUGCACCGAACAAAAACUUAUUACAGGUUAUGUGGAUACGUGGUAGAUACACAUUGUUCGCUGCCAUAGAAU
Zophobas morio is the source of this 204-nucleotide long non-coding RNA. RefSeq lists it as uncharacterized. The transcript has 3 exons. The record is from RefSeq and is a predicted model, not a curated record. Lineage: Eukaryota; Metazoa; Arthropoda; Insecta; Coleoptera; Tenebrionidae.